GUUGCCCCUUGUCAUCUUCUUAGAACUUAUAUUUGCCUAAGUGUGGUUUUUCUAUACUCAAUUUCUCUUGUGUUCCCGCUCAAACUAAAAUUUUAUCUUAAUUUCUAAUUUGUUAACUAGAUUGCAUAAAAUCAGGAAGUUCCCAAACUUUGAGCCGAAUUUAUGAAAUUGAUAACGCCUCAUAUUCUCUUCUUCUAUGAAGAUUUAUCCACCGUCUCCCUUAUAAAUCUGCCGAUGCUCUCUAAAACCCUAAGACCUCAAACCAUACCUUUGAUUCAAAAGUUCAUAUCUUAGAAAUCGACCCUUCCGAUGACACUCUUUAUAUUGAGGUUAAAGAUUUACUGUUUUAGAUUACAAACUUCUCUCUUAUUCGUAGAUUUUUUUUCCCAGUAAAGACUAAUUAAUAAUGUCAAAUUCACUUUACCGAGAAAUCGAGAUCUGGACAUUCAAGGAUUUCUUUUAUGAAGACGUAGAGUGAGGGGCGUAAAAGAAAAGGAGGGUGGUUUUUCUAGAUUUGCAUCUUGGUCAAAAUUUUCUUUAUGUUCAGGUGAUUAGGCACAGUAGAGGAAUUGGGCGCAUUGGUACUAUUGACCAUGGCUUUUUGCAGUUCAGGAGUAUUCUCAAUUUUGAUUUUCAGGUUCAUCUACAAUAUCUCAGUAAGCUUUUUUAGUUUUGUUUCUUUUUCGAAAAAGAACUCACUACUGACCCUCUACUUUUGAUGUGUUUCUUUCUUUUUAUCAACAUGAGAAUCGGAAAGACUAAAGAGUGGAUGUUUUGGUUUGGUAAUAUUUCCAUGGAUUUAUCAAUAUCAUGUUCUAUUUAACAUUUUAUCUUUUUAUUUUUCAAGUUAUUUUUCAAUCACCUUGCAUUUGUUUUAUUAUGUGAGAAGAUUCUUCUUCUUUUUUUUUUUUUUUUUUGAUAUGAUGGAUUUAAUGGAGAUCUGGUGCGCUAUGCAUAUCUAUUAAGACAAUUCAAAAGAUCAAAUUUGUGUGCAAGAAAUUUUUAUACUGAACUGCAAAUCUAAUAAAUUUAUAUGCAUUCUUGAUUUAUUCAUAUUGGUCACUCUACUGUAAUACAUGGUCUUUCCUCUAUCUUGAUUCCCAUUUAACCUCUUUACAUCUUAUAAAUUAAAAGUGUUAAUAUGCUUAAUUGGAUUAUAUACUUGAAUCUCUUCACUGGAACAUAUAAUUACAUCUCAUGUGUAGGUGAUCUUUACAUUUGAUUUAUUAGAAUUUUUCUUUAUCAGUAUUGAAUGUCAAAUUAAGAUUGUUUUCAUUUUUUAUUCAUGCUUAUUUGUUUGUUCAGUUCUUAUUCAUAUAAGUUUGAUUGUUUUUAUGAGCAUUGGUAAUUUUUUUAUUUGUUUCUUGAAAAAUAUAUUGCUAAAGAGAGUUGUAAGGUACUAAGAUUAUCAGUUAUGGGUGAAGGUUUUUAAAGAUUGGUUGUGUGGUCGAUUAUGUAAUUCCAUUUUGAAAUGGAAAUUGCAUUUAUAGCUGCUCCUUUUUUUGGUCAAUUUCAUGUACCAACUGCCCAUCUCUCUGAGAUUUUAAUGGAACUCUUAAUUUUGUAUAAGACAGUCAAUUGUUUUGUAGCAAAAUAUGUAGAUUUGGUCCCACCUUUACAUCUACAAUUACAUUUGUUCUUCCUUUGAUCUUAUCUAUUUUAUAUUUUGUGCACACUAUGUGUUUGAUUAAAUGCUUAACCAAAACUAUAUAGUAAUAUAAUCCGUAAGUUACUGUCUUUUGUUGUUUAAGUGUAAGAUGGACCAAAGUGAAGACAUCCUACAAUGAACACAAGGUUUCUUGAGUUGUCCAUGCAUGCUAGAUUCUCAUUUAAAUAUAUAACUGUAUUUAGGGUGAGAUCACUUAAAGAUGUAAACAUAAUAUUUAACACGAUAUGCUUGCUUAAUGGAAUUGUUGAAUUAAUGGAAUGGCUAAUUCAAUUGGAAUGAAAGUAGUAGAAAAACGAAGGAAAGCUCAUUGAUAUUUAUUUCAUUUAUCCCAUGAUUAGGCUAAGUGC
This is a long non-coding RNA of Lactuca sativa (garden lettuce), 2016 nucleotides long. RefSeq lists it as uncharacterized. The record is from RefSeq and is a predicted model, not a curated record. NCBI's taxonomy places the organism in Eukaryota, Viridiplantae, Streptophyta, Magnoliopsida, Asterales, Asteraceae.